Molecule: transfer RNA, 57 nt
Filed under: Aphelenchoides besseyi
Lineage: Eukaryota; Metazoa; Nematoda; Chromadorea; Rhabditida; Aphelenchoididae
Description: tRNA-Lys
Source: RNAcentral
AGACUUUUAUCUUAAAUUUAAAGUUUUAGAUUUUUAAUCUAAAGAUUAUAGAGUCUA